CAACUUCAGUGCACGUCCCUCAGGAAAUUCACAAGCUUUGGGGAGCAACCUUCAGGCAAGGUCGUAGACAGAAGAGAACCAACCGCUGGGCCGGCCACUGCCGAGGGCCACUCAGAGGGAACGCAAGGGGGUUAGGGAUGGAAGGCUGGCAGAGGAGAGAAAAGAUAGAAAAGAUUUGAAUGCCACCAGCAAUCGCCUCGGGCACAUUUUCCUGCCUUAGCUGUGGGAGUCAGCCCGGCCGAACAAGACGGGUCGCGUAGCAAAGGAAGGUCGAGGCGCUGCCGCCGCAAUCAAGUUCGAGUCUCAGAGCCAGCGGAUAAAUGUGAGCACGUCUCCCUCUAGUGGGCAGAGCGCGUCACCUUCCACCCGCAAAGACGGCCGCAUCUGGGUCAGGCCGAGCUUCGGAGGAGCCAGAUUUCAAACAUCUUGAAGACAGGAACAAAAUAUUUCAAAAAGGAAAAGACAGAAGGUAUAAUACAAAGGGAUUAGAAAGUCAUUUAUGUCACUAGUGAACUUGAGCCUGAACAACUCCAGAGGAACUAAGAAAAGUCCAUUUCCCACUGUUGACUUGUUCUCCUCUCCUGGAAUCGGCUGGAAGCAAUAUGAACUGGACAGGCUGUGAGCAGAGCCAACAGCACAAAACCACUCUAAGUGGUCUGUAAGAAAAUAUACGUCUGUAUCUUGGGGCCAGGACUCUAAAAUUUCAAAGGGGCAAAAGAGAAAUGAUUCAUGUCUGCAAAUCGAAUAUAUACGGCAGGAGCUGGUUCACAGGCGCAUGACCAAAGCUUGGUUUUUAGGCCUGGUUCCUGGACCUGGAUCCCACGUGUAAGAGCAACACCAGGCGCCUGGCUUGGUCACACAUCAGACGUUGGACAGGAAGUCGAGGUGGUGAAAUCCCUAGCUCUGAAGGUUAGAGGCCUUGAGGGCAGAAGUCAGGAAGGACAUGAUGGGGUCUCUUUCUAGCAUCCCCAGUCUUGGCUUCUACUCCCUUUUCCUUGGCUUCCUUUCUGCACCUCAAAUUGGGCUAUGAUAGGAAAGAGAUGGCCACAUUUUCUGCUAAUGAUGAAGCAAGAGUUCUUAGCCUGAGCUUAGACAGUUCUUUGGUGUCCUUGGAAGAGAACGGACACAAAAUGAGCCCAAAACAUCUGCAUGUUUGUCUGGGUGAAGGAUUUAUGAAUGUCAUAGGAUUCUCUUGGAGGUCUGUGACCCAAAGGAGUUGAACCAUGGCUGCUUUAGGGUCUCUCAGGUCUUCACAGCUCUCCAAACUCUUCCAGAGAAAUCCCAUUUCUUUUAGAGUUUUCUCUCAGAAGGAAUAUUCUUUUGAAUCUAUUCCCUGGCUUACGGGGAUGUUCACAGAGGAGACUUCCCUUGUGUCACAGAUCAGGGACUGUAGACACCAGUGUCUUGGGGAGGAUUCUGUGAAGUGGCUGCAAAGGCUAAGCUACUGGCAGAGAAUGCAGGAUUCCUGGAGAAGCAGAUGCCUGGGAUCCUAAGGAGCCUGAAUAAUUCACUAAACCAAGGGAAACUCCGGAAGCACACAGCAAACUGAGUGACCCCAGAGUAUUCUUUUGACAUAACAGACACAGUAGCUUAAGGAAAGUGUAGGUUAAUGCGUUGACUGAUAAUCAUUAAUAAACAAUGAUAAUUUAUGUCUUUUCAAAUCAAGUUUUCAUCUUGACAGAGGGCAGAAAAAACACUUGCCUUAAUUUAUCUGUAAAUUAUAUGAACCCCUGCUUUGAAAUAGCUGGAGAAAAUGAGUGAUGAGUUUGUCCCUUUGACGAAAGGAACUCACAUCCCAGAACAAAAGAAUGUCACCAAGAUUCCGCUUUCAAAGACAGAGAGUUUACAGUGUUGUUAGAGGUUCUGAGGUUAAAUGCUAAUAGUUAUCUGAGAGUAGCAAGCAAUUUACUUUCCAUGGGACUGAGCUCUAUUCUAGCUGAUAGUAAACUGCUUAUGUUGCUGGGUUACCCAGGGAGCCAACAGUAACAACAGCAGAGUGUGGCCUACACGCUACAGAGACUUCGCUCACUCAAAUAAGAGCCUUUGAAACAUGGGCAUGUUUGUCUUCUCUCGUACUAGACGCCCAAAUCAGCAAUACUGCAUCUUCCUUCCAUUCACCCAGUCUUCUGCGCCAAAUCCGUUAUCUUCUUGGACCAUUGCAUCUCAACGGAGAAGAAAAGUAAAUGUCAGUGAAAACAGAGAAGGAUUUGAGACACUGUAUCUCGUAAGACGCUGCUGCAGAGUGAACGUGACACCCGGGGAAAGGUGCUGCGCGGGUCCUGCCUAAUAUCCACUAUCUCUUCUUCUUCGCAAUCAGACAACCAUUUUGUUUUGAAAUUGUUUUUUAAAACUACAUUUUCCAACUUUCCUCCAACUAGAUAUGAUCAUCUGAUACCAUUCAGGCCACUGAGAUGUAAACACAAUUUGGGGAAAAUUUUCCCAAAAGGUGUUGACUCAGCUGCCCAUGUGCCUUGC
Long non-coding RNA from Callithrix jacchus (white-tufted-ear marmoset), 2475 nucleotides. RefSeq lists it as uncharacterized. NCBI's taxonomy places the organism in Eukaryota, Metazoa, Chordata, Mammalia, Primates, Cebidae. The record is from RefSeq and is a predicted model, not a curated record.